Molecule: ribosomal RNA, 301 nt
Filed under: uncultured bacterium
Lineage: Bacteria
Description: partial 16S ribosomal RNA
Rfam family: Bacterial small subunit ribosomal RNA
Source: RNAcentral
CAGUAGCCACGGUAAUACGAAGGGGGCUAGCGUUGUUCGGAUUUACUGGGCGUAAAGCGCACGUAGGCGGAUCGAUCAGUCAGGGGUGAAAUCCCAGAGCUCAACUCUGGAACUGCCUUUGAUACUGUCGAUCUGGAGUAUGGAAGAGGUGAGUGGAAUUCCGAGUGUAGAGGUGAAAUUCGCAGAUAUUCGGAGGAACACCAGUGGCGAAGGCGGCUCAUUGGCUCAUACUGGACGCUGAGGUGCGAAAGCGUGGGGAGCAAGCAGGAUUAGAUACCCCUGUAGUCCCUGUCUCUUAUAC